RNAcentral lists this ribosomal RNA (540 nucleotides) under Pseudoalteromonas sp. RNAcentral describes it as "bacterial SSU rRNA". It matches the Rfam family "Bacterial small subunit ribosomal RNA", at positions 73 to 616 of the family's 1533-position model. Lineage: Bacteria; Pseudomonadati; Pseudomonadota; Gammaproteobacteria; Alteromonadales; Pseudoalteromonadaceae. The record is from RNAcentral.
AGCUUGCUACUUUGCUGACGAGCGGCGGACGGGUGAGUAAUGCUUGGGAACAUGCCUUGAGGUGGGGGACAACAGUUGGAAACGACUGCUAAUACCGCAUAAUGUCUACGGACCAAAGGGGGCUUCGGCUCUCGCCUUUAGAUUGGCCCAAGUGGGAUUAGCUAGUUGGUGAGGUAAUGGCUCACCAAGGCGACGAUCCCUAGCUGGUUUGAGAGGAUGAUCAGCCACACUGGGACUGAGACACGGCCCAGACUCCUACGGGAGGCAGCAGUGGGGAAUAUUGCACAAUGGGCGCAAGCCUGAUGCAGCCAUGCCGCGUGUGUGAAGAAGGCCUUCGGGUUGUAAAGCACUUUCAGUCAGGAGGAAAGGUUAACGGUUAAUACCCGUUAGCUGUGACGUUACUGACAGAAGAAGCACCGGCUAACUCCGUGCCAGCAGCCGCGGUAAUACGGAGGGUGCGAGCGUUAAUCGGAAUUACUGGGCGUAAAGCGUACGCAGGCGGUUUGUUAAGCGAGAUGUGAAAGCCCCGGGCUCAACCUG